Long non-coding RNA from Sipha flava (yellow sugarcane aphid), 942 nucleotides. RefSeq lists it as uncharacterized. The record is from RefSeq and is a predicted model, not a curated record. The transcript is spliced from 2 exons. Lineage: Eukaryota; Metazoa; Arthropoda; Insecta; Hemiptera; Aphididae.
UUUUAUAAAUUUACAACAUUGAAUUGAUUUUUGUAUUUUAUUAAAUCUAAUGUUUUAUAGUGUCGAAAUGAAUGCUGAAAACUGUUGAUGAGUAUUUAUGACCCGUCAAUUGAAAAUGAAUACACCUAAAUAGAUAAUAGAUUAUAAUUUUAUAAGCGUAUUAAACUCACAUUAGUUUAAACUAUUUACAUUAAAAUAUUAAAUGUGUUGAUGUUGGUUAUUUUUAACUACAUAUUGUCGGAUUCAGUGGCGCCGAGCCCUAUGCAUAGGUCAGGCUGAGGAUCAGAGAGGUUGGUCUAUGGUUCGCACUUAACAAACGAUAAAUAGUGAAUUAUAACAUAACACAUAAUAUAUUUUGCGGAACGGUACUAUACGAUAUCUGUCGGUACGUGUCUGACUAUUACAGUAUAAAUCAUGCUUAAUAUUUGUAAUUUGAGAGCAAAAAUUAUUUUUCUAUGUAAAGUAAAAAUGUAGGCUUGUGGCCGCUGGGGUGUUGAGGCCGUUGUAUUUUUAUUUGGCCUGAAAACAAUUUUGAAAGUUCGACACCGCUGGUCGGAUGCGUUUUAUGACUCCGACAUAACCAAUCAUUUUAUGUGAACAUUUUUUGUAUUUAAUGCAUUUUGUGUACAGUUUAAAAAUACUAAAUCCUAAAAAACAAAUUCAUUAAGGCAUUAUUCUUCAGACUACUUAGGAUUCUGAGUUUAUAACUCUCACAUAAUUUUGGAUUUGAUGGUUUGUACGGAAAAUAAAAAUACACAACUCAACUAAAUUGCAGCUCGAAAGUUCGAAUACAUUAUCAGCUUUUAAAUUAACAUUUUUAAAAUAAUAUUUGUUGUACCAGUGGCAUAUUUUUGAGAGGGAGUCGGAAGAAGGUUCGUCAUAAAUGACUUACUACGAAGAUAAAGACAAAGAUAACAUUAAUUUAUACCAUGUGAUUGUAAU